Pelobates cultripes (western spadefoot toad) is the source of this 86-nucleotide non-coding RNA. The record is from the annotation of a GenBank genome assembly. Lineage: Eukaryota; Metazoa; Chordata; Amphibia; Anura; Pelobatidae.
CCUCCCAGACCUUCCCACCUCCUGGACAGCAGCUUCACAAUGAAUGUAAAAUGGAUGCUGUCCAGGAGGUGGGAGGAUCUGGGAGG